AUUUCAGCUAAGUAAAACUGUCGAAAGGCAGUGACGUAAAGCUAUAGGGCCUGGAAUGGCAGCCAGCUGCAAUU
This 74-nucleotide non-coding RNA is filed under the name Olsenella uli. RNAcentral's name for it is "c-di-GMP sequence". It matches the Rfam family "c-di-GMP-I riboswitch aptamer". From Rfam's summary of the family: GEMM was predicted in a large-scale screen for bacterial structured RNA regulatory elements. Genes associated with GEMM are involved in a diverse array of functions, including chemotaxis regulation, signal transduction, secretion and chitin. RNAcentral also lists the same sequence under 1 other name. The record is from RNAcentral. Lineage: Bacteria; Bacillati; Actinomycetota; Coriobacteriia; Coriobacteriales; Atopobiaceae.